UGCCAGCCUCCGCGGUACCCCUUAUUGGGCAAGCGUUGUCCGGAUUUAUUGGGCGUAAAGAGCUCGUAGGUGGCUGAGUAAGUCGGAUGUUAAAUCUCCAGGCUCAACCUGGAACACCACCCGAUACUGCUCUGGCUAGAGUCCGGUAGGGGAGCGUGGUAUUCCUGGUGUAGCGGUGAAAUGCGCAGAUAUCAGGAGGAACACCAGCGGCGAAGGCGGCGCUCUGGGCCGGCACUGACACUGAGGAGCGAAAGCAUGGGUAGCAAACCGGAUUAGAUA
RNAcentral lists this ribosomal RNA (279 nucleotides) under uncultured bacterium. RNAcentral describes it as "partial 16S ribosomal RNA". It matches the Rfam family "Bacterial small subunit ribosomal RNA", at positions 506 to 784 of the family's 1533-position model. The record is from RNAcentral.